Molecule: ribosomal RNA, 400 nt
Filed under: uncultured bacterium
Lineage: Bacteria
Description: bacterial SSU rRNA
Rfam family: Bacterial small subunit ribosomal RNA
Source: RNAcentral
UCGAGAAUAUUCCACAAUGGGCGAAAGCCUGAUGGAGCGACGCCGCGUGCAGGAAGAAGGCCUUCGGGUUGUAAACUGCGGUAGUAGAUCAAGAACGUAAGUGACUAAUCUACGGAAAGAGGCGGGUAACUACGUGCCAGCACCAGCGGUAAUACGUAGGCCUCAAGCAUUAUCCGGAUUUAUUGGGCGUAAAGCGUGUGUAGGGGGCAUGGUGCGUUUUCUGUUAAAGCCCGCCGCCCAACGGCGGAAGUGCAGGAAAUACGACCUUGCUAGAAGAAGUUAGAGGUGCAUGGAACUCACGGUGUAGGGGUGAAAUCCGUUGAUAUCGUGGGGAACACCAAAGGCGAAGGCAGUGCACUGGGACUCUCUUGACCCUGAGACACGAAAGCGUGGGGAGCAA